This 576-nucleotide ribosomal RNA is filed under the name uncultured bacterium. RNAcentral describes it as "bacterial SSU rRNA". It matches the Rfam family "Bacterial small subunit ribosomal RNA", at positions 338 to 916 of the family's 1533-position model. The record is from RNAcentral.
CCUACGGGAGGCAGCAGUAGGGAAUAUUGGGCAAUGGGCGAGAGCCUGACCCAGCCAUGCCGCGUGCCGGAUGAAGGCCUUCUGGGUUGUAAACGGCUUUUCUCAGGGAAGAAAAAGCCCAUGCGUGGGACACUGACGGUACCUGAGGAAUAAGCACCGGCUAACUCCGUGCCAGCAGCCGCGGUAAUACGGAGGGUGCAAGCGUUGUCCGGAUUUAUUGGGUUUAAAGGGUGCGUAGGCGGCCCGUUAAGUCCGGGGUGAAAGCCCACAGCUCAACUGUGGAACUGCCCUGGAUACUGGCGGGCUUGAGUCCAGACGAGGUUGGCGGAAUGGAUGGUGUAGCGGUGAAAUGCAUAGAUACCAUCCAGAACCCCGAUUGCGUAGGCAGCUGACUAGGCUGGUACUGACGCUGAGGCACGAAAGCGUGGGGAGCGAACAGGAUUAGAUACCCUGGUAGUCCACGCCGUAAACGAUGGAUACUCGCUGGUGGCGAUAGACAGUCACUGGCUUAGCGAAAGCGGUAAGUAUCCACCUGGGGAGUACGCUCGCAAGAGUGAAACUCAAAUGAAUUGACGG